Molecule: long non-coding RNA, 1782 nt
Organism: Helicoverpa armigera (cotton bollworm)
Lineage: Eukaryota; Metazoa; Arthropoda; Insecta; Lepidoptera; Noctuidae
Exons: 2
Source: RefSeq, a predicted model, not a curated record
GUAAAUAAUAAAAGAAAAAAACAGAAUUAAUGUCUGAAUUAAUGUCAAUCAAUGUAAAAAAAUAAUAAUAAUAAGUUAAUAAUUUAGUUACAGUGAUAACAAGAAUGAGCUGCCUUGCGUUCAACUUAGCGACCAACUAUUCCUAUCAUUUAAAUAAUCAUUAAUGCUAUAAUAAGCCUUCUUUGAAAGAAUUAACUUUACUUGUAAUUUAAAUGCAUGAAACGGUAAUUGUAGUAAAGUGAGAGGUAGUUUAUUGUAAAAGCGGAUACCGAGCCCCAAAAAUGAUCCAUGAACCUUAUGAAGUCUGUGAGUGGGUACACACAGUUUGUGCUUGUUUCUAGUGUUAAUACUGUGAACAUCGCUUUUUUUGGUGUACAAAUGAAUAUUUUGCCUAAUGUAAAGUAUAUUGGCAUAGAUAAAUUGUGAUGCCACAGUAAGAAUGCCUAUUUCUUUAAAGAGCUCUCUUAGCGAAUGUCUACUACCUAACCGGUAUAUAGCACGAACAGCUCGUUUUUGUAAUAUAAAUAUGUUUUGAAUAUCAGCAGCUUUGCCCCACAGAAGAAUACCGUAGGACAUAACGCUGUGAAAGUAGCUAAAAUAGACUACUCGAGCUGUUUCUACGUCAGUGAUUUGUCUUACUUUUCUGACGGCGUACGCAGCUGAGCUAAGCCUUCCCGCGAGGCCAGCUAUAUGCGAGCCCCACUGAAGUCUGCUAUCGACUGAUAUACCAAGAAAUACUGUGAAUUCGACAGUUUCUAGAACCUCGUUACUUAAUAUAAUAUUCGGGCCUAGGUUUUUCACGUUCGGUAGAGUAAAUUUAAGGCAUUUUGUUUUCUUCGCAUUUAAUACCAAGUUGUUAGUACUAAACCAGUGUGUAACCAACGAAAGUGCACUGUUUACGUCGUUAAAUUGAUCCCUAUUUCUGUCGACUUUAAAAAUAAGUGAAGUGUCAUCUGCAAACAGUACAACGUCACAGAUAUUAUAAUAAGUUGUCUGAUAGCCACGUUGAUCCAACAAAAACAAAAAUGAAAGUGAAAUUCGCCAGCCAAGUAUUCAGUAGAACUGUUUCUUCAACAAUGGGAUACCUUGCAGAUAACGGAAUCCUUCCAGCAGAAUGCAACGAAACUGCAGAUAUCCUGCUAUUUUUUGACAACCUAUUUGAUUCCGUCAAUGGCAGUUUAAAAAAAAACAGGUUUACAAAACCUCUUUUAGGACCUGUAACACCAACCUCAAAACACCAUGAGUUUUGAGCAGAAUGCAAAAAAGUGCUAAAAUCAAUGAAAGUUAUCACGGAAAAAAAUAAAAUUGCCUCUGUACCUAGCAUUAAUAAUUGGGUAUGGACACUGGAAGGUAUAGAAAUCUGUUUUUUAAACAAAUAUAAACAAAUUCAAAAGAACGUAUGUAAAAAUCUACAGCUCUCUAUGUAAGCGCUUUAUAUGAAAACUAGCUAAUGACCAAACGUUCGCGUAGCGGAAACUUGAAUUUCUCCGAAGUUUAUGCAUGCACUGAUUUCAUUCAUACAUAAAUAAUUAUACACAAAUACACACAAAUUUUUGGACACAUCUCUUUUCUUCUAAAGUCUAUUGAUUAAAAAAAGUUCCGCCAGGACAACGUUUGCCCAGCGGAAUCUGUUUUUGGUGAAUUUCUCCACAAUGGCUGCGUACACAAAUUUUUAUUUACCAUACACAAUCAUAGAAAGUCUUACACUAAUUAUCUGCAUAAUUAAAAUCUUUAAAUUCAACAACAUUCCGCUGCGCGAACGCACACGACGAAGAGUCAAUA